AAGAUGGCGACCGGCGCACGGGUGAGUAACACGUAUCCAACCUGCCGAUGACUCGGGGAUAGCCUUUCGAAAGAAAGAUUAAUACCCGAUGGCAUAGUUCUUCCGCAUGGUGGAACUAUUAAAGAAUUUCGGUCAUCGAUGGGGAUGCGUUCCAUUAGGUUGUUGGCGGGGUAACGGCCCACCAAGCCUUCGAUGGAUAGGGGUUCUGAGAGGAAGGUCCCCCACAUUGGAACUGAGACACGGUCCAAACUCCUACGGGAGGCAGCAUG
Molecule: ribosomal RNA, 269 nt
Filed under: uncultured bacterium
Lineage: Bacteria
Description: partial 16S ribosomal RNA
Rfam family: Bacterial small subunit ribosomal RNA
Source: RNAcentral